UACGGAGGAUGCAAGCGUUAUCCGGAUUUAUUGGGUUUAAAGGGUGCGUAGGCGGAAAUGUAAGUCAGUGGUGAAAGACUGUCGCUUAACGAUAGCAUUGCCAUUGAUACUGCAAGUCUUGAGUACAUUUGAGGUGGGCGGAAUGUGUAGUGUAGCGGUGAAAUGCUUAGAUAUUACACAGAACACCGAUUGCGAAGGCAGCUCACUAAACUGUAACUGACGCUGAGGCACGAAAGCGUGGGGAU
RNAcentral lists this ribosomal RNA (245 nucleotides) under uncultured bacterium. RNAcentral's name for it is "partial 16S ribosomal RNA". It matches the Rfam family "Bacterial small subunit ribosomal RNA", at positions 524 to 768 of the family's 1533-position model. The record is from RNAcentral.